This 1282-nucleotide ribosomal RNA is filed under the name Escherichia coli. RNAcentral describes it as "partial 23S ribosomal RNA". It matches the Rfam family "Bacterial large subunit ribosomal RNA", at positions 548 to 1817 of the family's 2925-position model. The record is from RNAcentral. Lineage: Bacteria; Pseudomonadati; Pseudomonadota; Gammaproteobacteria; Enterobacterales; Enterobacteriaceae.
ACCUGAAACCGUGUACGUACAAGCAGUGGGAGCCUCUUAAUGGGGUGACUGCGUACCUUUUGUAUAAUGGGUCAGCGACUUAUAUUCUGUAGCAAGGUUAACCGAAUAGGGGAGCCGAAGGGAAACCGAGUCUUAACUGGGCGUUAAGUUGCAGGGUAUAGACCCGAAACCCGGUGAUCUAGCCAUGGGCAGGUUGAAGGUUGGGUAACACUAACUGGAGGACCGAACCGACUAAUGUUGAAAAAUUAGCGGAUGACUUGUGGCUGGGGGUGAAAGGCCAAUCAAACCGGGAGAUAGCUGGUUCUCCCCGAAAGCUAUUUAGGUAGCGCCUCGUGAAUUCAUCUCCGGGGGUAGAGCACUGUUUCGGCAAGGGGGUCAUCCCGACUUACCAACCCGAUGCAAACUGCGAAUACCGGAGAAUGUUAUCACGGGAGACACACGGCGGGUGCUAACGUCCGUCGUGAAGAGGGAAACAACCCAGACCGCCAGCUAAGGUCCCAAAGUCAUGGUUAAGUGGGAAACGAUGUGGGAAGGCCCAGACAGCCAGGAUGUUGGCUUAGAAGCAGCCAUCAUUUAAAGAAAGCGUAAUAGCUCACUGGUCGAGUCGGCCUGCGCGGAAGAUGUAACGGGGCUAAACCAUGCACCGAAGCUGCGGCAGCGACACUAUGUGUUGUUGGGUAGGGGAGCGUUCUGUAAGCCUGUGAAGGUGGCCUGUGAGGGUUGCUGGAGGUAUCAGAAGUGCGAAUGCUGACAUAAGUAACGAUAAAGCGGGUGAAAAGCCCGCUCGCCGGAAGACCAAGGGUUCCUGUCCAACGUUAAUCGGGGCAGGGUGAGUCGACCCCUAAGGCGAGGCCGAAAGGCGUAGUCGAUGGGAAACAGGUUAAUAUUCCUGUACUUGGUGUUACUGCGAAGGGGGGACGGAGAAGGCUAUGUUGGCCGGGCGACGGUUGUCCCGGUUUAAGCGUGUAGGCUGGUUUUCCAGGCAAAUCCGGAAAAUCAAGGCUGAGGCGUGAUGACGAGGCACUACGGUGCUGAAGCGACAAAUGCCCUGCUUCCAGGAAAAGCCUCUAAGCAUCAGGUAACAUCAAAUCGUACCCCAAACCGACACAGGUGGUCAGGUAGAGAAUACCAAGGCGCUUGAGAGAACUCGGGUGAAGGAACUAGGCAAAAUGGUGCCGUAACUUCGGGAGAAGGCACGCUGAUAUGUAGGUGAAGCGACUUGCUCGUGGAGCUGAAAUCAGUCGAAGAUACCAGCUGGCUGCAACUGUUUAUUAAAAACACA